Molecule: long non-coding RNA, 282 nt
Filed under: Manihot esculenta (cassava)
Lineage: Eukaryota; Viridiplantae; Streptophyta; Magnoliopsida; Malpighiales; Euphorbiaceae
Description: long non-coding RNA (MESC_LNC010292)
Source: RNAcentral
AAGAAACAUUUGGGUAUUGAGGAGAGGGAACGGGGGCAAGUUGCGAUGACGAAGCGGGAGAGGAUUUUGCAGAAAUAGGUGUUGAUUCCAAACUUUGAACAGUACUGGCCAUUUGAUCGAGAAAAAGAAAAAGUUAGAUCCUAUAGGCUCUGAUACCAUAAAGAGCUUUAGAAGAAAUCUGUAUUUCAAUUGUAUUAAUAUUCUGUAGAGAUACAAGUAUAUAUAUACACAUUUCUAUACAGUUACAUGAGAUAAGAUAAAAUAAAUACAAAUAUUCAAAAU